RNAcentral lists this ribosomal RNA (631 nucleotides) under Shouchella hunanensis. RNAcentral's name for it is "bacterial SSU rRNA". It matches the Rfam family "Bacterial small subunit ribosomal RNA", at positions 129 to 746 of the family's 1533-position model. The record is from RNAcentral. Lineage: Bacteria; Bacillati; Bacillota; Bacilli; Caryophanales; Bacillaceae.
CCCCUUAGACUGGGAUAACUCCGGGAAACCGGAGCUAAUACGGGAUAAUAAAGAGAAUCACCUGAUUCUCUUUUGAAAGACGGUUUCGGCUGUCACUAAGGGAUGGGCCUGCGGCGCAUUAGCUAGUUGGUAAGGUAACGGCUUACCAAGGCGACGAUGCGUAGCCGACCUGAGAGGGUGAUCGGCCACACUGGGACUGAGACACGGCCCAGACUCCUACGGGAGGCAGCAGUAGGGAAUCUUCCGCAAUGGACGAAAGUCUGACGGAGCAACGCCGCGUGAGUGAGGAAGGCCUUCGGGUCGUAAAGCUCUGUUGUGAGGGAAGAACAAGUACCGGCGUAACUACCGGUACCUUGACGGUACCUCACCAGAAAGCCACGGCUAACUACGUGCCAGCAGCCGCGGUAAUACGUAGGUGGCAAGCGUUGUCCGGAAUUAUUGGGCGUAAAGCGCGCGCAGGCGGCUUCUUAAGUCUGAUGUGAAAUCUCGGGGCUCAACCCCGAGCGGCCAUUGGAAACUGGGAAGCUUGAGUGCAGAAGAGGAGAGUGGAAUUCCACGUGUAGCGGUGAAAUGCGUAGAUAUGUGGAGGAACACCAGUGGCGAAGGCGACUCUCUGGUCUGUAACUGACGC